Mesocricetus auratus (golden hamster) is the source of this 1090-nucleotide long non-coding RNA. RefSeq lists it as uncharacterized. Lineage: Eukaryota; Metazoa; Chordata; Mammalia; Rodentia; Cricetidae. The record is from RefSeq and is a predicted model, not a curated record. The transcript is spliced from 4 exons.
CCCGCCCCAAAUGUGGGCCAUCAUCCUAUAGGCUGUCAUCCUGGGUAAACCCAGCAUUUGUUUCUCUCUAUUUCCUGACUUCAGAUACAUUGUGUCUGUCUGCCUCCUCGUCUUGCUGUGGUGCCUUCCCUGAGAGGAUAUCUCCUUCAGACUGAUGACAGCUUCCUGUUCCUCCCGUGGAGGUACUCAGACUCAAUCUACUCUGGGCGAGGUGGAGGGUACAGGAGAAAAUGCCACUUCAUUGAGUCCAGGAAUAUCAGGAGGACGUGCUGGGAAGGCUCUGCAGGUGGCAGUGAGGUGUCCCUGGCUCCAGGUGGUACACUUUGGUGUCUCACACAUACUGUGAGAUUUAUCAGAAGCAAGUCUGAGUACCAAGGAGGCCAUGACACUGAUGAGUACCACCUUGUGACUGUCACCCCUCUCAGAGCCCCAGCUUCUUCAUCUCCAAUUCGAGGGAGAUCCAGGGAGGGUUGGGUCCUUCUGAUACAUUUCAGAAGCAGCCUGUGAAAGUCUUAAAGAAGUAGAGGAAUCUGAUGGCUCAGCUACCAUGAUCUGGAUUCAAAGACAUGAAGACCAUCAGGGCAGAGCUGAACUACUUCCGAUAUCCUGUCCUAUAGCCACACCCAGGAGUGAGGGGAGAGAGCUAGAGCCAAUGAGCUUGUGGUCAUUCUUCAAAGGACUCUUCUGCUGGGGACCUGGCUGCAGAUGACCCUGCCUCAGCCACCAGGCCUACAUCUCCUGGAACAUAGGAUGCUGCAUUUGGAAAAGCCUAACUGGUAUCAUAGCCUUGAACCUGAGAGUCAUCCUACCCGACCUUACUUGAUUCCUGACCUCCAGGCUCACCUCUGAUAGAUAAGACUUGAAAGCCCAGAGUGGGGAGAGGACUCAUCCAGUGUCACACAACACAAGGAAAGGGCAGGAAAGACAAGCCAGAACCCCAGUCUCUUCGAGGCAGUUCCAGAGCUCUCUAGAGACACAUAUCCCCAGUUUCUUCCAGACCACUGCUUCCCAACCUUCCUGAUGCCAUGACCCUUUAAUACAGUUCCUCAUGUUGUGGUGGGCCCCAACCAUAAAAUUAUUUCCAUUGCUA